This 408-nucleotide ribosomal RNA is filed under the name uncultured bacterium. Its description in RNAcentral is "partial 16S ribosomal RNA". It matches the Rfam family "Bacterial small subunit ribosomal RNA", at positions 28 to 526 of the family's 1533-position model. The record is from RNAcentral.
GACGAACGCUGGCGGCGUGCUUAACACAUGCAAGUCGAACGAAGUGGCGAACGGGUGAGUAACGCGUAAUUAACCUGCCCUUAGGAGGGGGACAACAGUUGGAAACGACUGCUAAUACCCCAUACUGAAGGAGGGGAUUGCGUUUGAUUAGCUAGUUGGAGGGGUAACGGCCCACCAGGGCGAUGAUCAGUAGGCGGGCUGAGAGGAUGAACGGCCCAAAUGGGACGGGGACACGGCCCAGACUCCUACGGGGGGCAGGAGUGGGGAAUCUUCCGCAAUGGACGAAAGUCUGACGGAGCAACGCCGCGGGGGUGAUGACGGCCUUCGGGUUGUAAAGCUCUGUUAAUCGGGGCGCGGUACCGGAAUAGAAAGCCACGGCUAACUACGUGCCAGCAGCCGCGGUAAUAC